UACGGGGGGAGCAAGCGUUGUUCGGAUUUACUGGGCGUAAAGGGCGCGUAGGCGGCGCAACAAGUCACUUGUGAAAUCUCCGGGCUUAACCCGGAGCGGCCAAGUGAUACUGUCGUGCUAGAGUGCGGAAGGGGCUACUGGAAUUCUCGGUGUAGCGGUGAAAUGCGUAGAUAUCUGGAGGAACACCGGUGGCGAAGGCGGCAUCCUGGACCGGUAUUGACGCUGAGGCGCGAAAGCUAGGGGAGCAAACGGG
This 253-nucleotide ribosomal RNA is filed under the name uncultured bacterium. RNAcentral describes it as "partial 16S ribosomal RNA". It matches the Rfam family "Bacterial small subunit ribosomal RNA", at positions 524 to 776 of the family's 1533-position model. The record is from RNAcentral.